CCCUUAGAUGUCCGGGGCCGCACGCGCGCUACACUGAAGUAAUCAGCGUGGCUUUCUCCCUGACCCGAAAGGGUUGGGAAACCCGUUGAAUCUCCUUCGUGAUAGGGAUUGGGGCUUGAAAUUGUUCCCCAUGAACGAGGAAUUCCCAGUAAGCGCGAGUCAUAAGCUCGCGUUGAUUACGUCCCUGCCCUUUGUACACACCGCCCGUCGCUACUACCGAUUGAACGGUUUAGUGAGGGCCUCGGAUUGGUCUCGGCCCGCUCUUUACCGGGCGGCGCCGUUGGUCGAGAAGACGCUCGAACUUGAUCGUUUAGAGGAAGUAAAAGUCGUAACA
RNAcentral lists this ribosomal RNA (334 nucleotides) under uncultured eukaryote. RNAcentral's name for it is "partial 18S ribosomal RNA". It matches the Rfam family "Eukaryotic small subunit ribosomal RNA", at positions 1470 to 1796 of the family's 1831-position model. The record is from RNAcentral.